GCAUCGGUAGAGCAACGGUUCAGCACGCGUUGCCGUAAGGAGCGAGGUCUAGGUUCGAGUCUUAGCUGACGCG
Parelaphostrongylus tenuis is the source of this 73-nucleotide non-coding RNA. NCBI's taxonomy places the organism in Eukaryota, Metazoa, Nematoda, Chromadorea, Rhabditida, Metastrongylidae. The record is from the annotation of a GenBank genome assembly.